Molecule: ribosomal RNA, 229 nt
Filed under: uncultured bacterium
Lineage: Bacteria
Description: partial 16S ribosomal RNA
Rfam family: Bacterial small subunit ribosomal RNA
Source: RNAcentral
AAUGUAGGCGGUUUUGCAAGUCAGGGGUGAAAUCCCUCAGCUUAACUGAGGAAGUGCCUUUGAAACUGCAUAACUAGAGGACAGGAGAGGAAAGUGGAAUUCCCGGUGUAGCGGUGGAAUGCGUAGAUAUCGGGAGGAGCACCAGAGGCGAAGGCGGCUUUCUGGACUGAUCCUGACGCUGAGAUUCGAAAGCUAGGGGAGCAAACAGGAUUAGAUACCCUGGUAGUCC